This 856-nucleotide ribosomal RNA is filed under the name uncultured Bacteroidota bacterium. RNAcentral describes it as "bacterial SSU rRNA". It matches the Rfam family "Bacterial small subunit ribosomal RNA", at positions 1 to 847 of the family's 1533-position model. Lineage: Bacteria; Pseudomonadati; Bacteroidota. The record is from RNAcentral.
UGGAUCCAGACUUUGAUUAUGGCUCAGGAUGAACGCUAGCUACAGGCUUAACACAUGCAAGUCGAGGGGAAACGAUAUUGGAAGCUUGCUUCCGAUAGGCGUCGACCGGCGCACGGGUGAGUAACGCGUAUCCAACCUGCCCACCACUUGGGAAUAACCUUGCGAAAGUAAGACUAAUACUCAAUGAUAUCUCUAGAAGACAUCUGAAGGAGAUUAAAGAUUUAUCGGUGAUGGAUGGGGAUGCGUCUGAUUAGCUUGUUGGCGGGGUAACGGCCCACCAAGGCGACGAUCUGUAGGGGUUCUGAGAGGAAGGUCCCCCACAUUGGAACUGAGACACGGUCCAAACUCCUACGGGAGGCAGCAGUGAGGAAUAUUGGUCAAUGGGCGAGAGCCUGAACCAGCCAAGUAGCGUGCAGGAUGACGGCCCUAUGGGUUGUAAACUGCUUUUAUAAGGGAAUAAAGUGAGCCUCGUGAGGCUUUUUGCAUGUACCUUAUGAAUAAGGACCGGCUAAUUCCGUGCCAGCAGCCGCGGUAAUACGGAAGGUCCGGGCGUUAUCCGGAUUUAUUGGGUUUAAAGGGAGCGUAGGCCGGAGAUUAAGCGUGUUGUGAAAUGUAGAUGCUCAACAUCUGCACUGCAGCGCGAACUGGUUUCCUUGAGUACGCACAAAGUGGGCGGAAUUCGUGGUGUAGCGGUGAAAUGCUUAGAUAUCACGAAGAACUCCGAUUGCGAAGGCAGCUCACUGGAGCGCAACCGACGCUGAAGCUCGAAAGUGCGGGUAUCGAACAGGAUUAGAUACCCUGGUAGUCCGCACGGUAAACGAUGGAUGCCCGCUGUUGGUCUGAAUAGGUCAGCGGC